AUCCCUGUAGCUCAGUUGGUAGAGCAUGGUGUUUGCAAUGCCAGGGUUGUGGGUUCGAUUCCCACGGGGGGCC
Molecule: non-coding RNA, 73 nt
Organism: Salmo salar (Atlantic salmon)
Lineage: Eukaryota; Metazoa; Chordata; Actinopteri; Salmoniformes; Salmonidae
Source: Rfam